UGGAGGUUCCCAGGCUAGGGGUUGAAGUGGAGCUGUAGUCGCUGGCCUACACCAUAGCAACAGAAACGCCAGAUCCAAGCCACGUCUGUGACCUACAUCACAGCUCAUGGCAAUGCCAGAUCCUUAACUCGCUGAGCAAGGCCAGUGAUCGAACCUGUGUCCUCAUGGAUAUUAGUCAGAUUCAUUUCCGCUGAGCCACAGUGGGAACUGCCUUGAAUGGAAAUUUCCAAGGGGGUUCAGUUUAUCCGGACCUGUUCAGAAUUGUUUGUGCUCUGUGCCUUUGUAUAUGUUCUGCAUUUUGCUAGAAGGCCUCUCUCCAUCUCAAAUUCCUAGAAAAGUCCUACUGUUUACAAGGCAGGCUUUGAUUCACACCUGUGUCUCCCAAGUCCGUGUAAGUGCUUGGAGGCCAGUUUCUUGCUGCUUUGUCUUCAGAGCUCCAGAGCACAAUGCCUUUGCUCUAGCAGCAAGCUUGUCAUAAAAUAUUGACACCUGCCAGAAAAGUUGCUUUCACUGUAGCCAUCACUAAUUCUUACAUGUACUUUCCCCAAGGAAUGGAAAUGUCAUCCCAAUCCUUUACAACACAUCAAGUAAUCUCUAUAUUUCAUUCUUUUCCUUGAAGAUAGCCAUUCAAAAAUGAAGCACUCCAUUUUCUGGCCCCAGUGUGGGCUGGCGAUUAUCUAGACUAGCUUCGCAGCUGUUGUCCUGGGAUCUCCCUUCACCAUCAUCCUGGGAAUCUCUCUUCCCUCCCCUGGAUUGGAUCCAGGGCUGGCUUCAUGGGGUCUAUAUGUCCUGUGCAGUAACACUUAGAAGGGCUCUCUGUUUGGUUUAGUGCUCUGCUGUCAUCAUCUAGAGAUUCUUGGUAAUUUUUUUUAGGUUAUUUUUUUUUCUAUUAUAGUUGAUUUACAUUGAUUGUUCUGUCAAUUUCUGCUGUACAGCAAAGUGAUCCAGUUUUAUAUAUAUAUUUUCCUCCAUCAUGUUCCAUCACAAGUGACUAGAUAUAGUUCCCUGUGCUAUACAGCAGGAUCACAUUACUUAUCCACUCCAAAUGCAGUAGUUUACAUCUACUAACCCCAAACUUCCAGUCCAUCCUACUCCCUCCCCCUCCCCCUCCCCCUUGGCAACCACAUGUCUGUUCUCCAAGUCCAUGAAUUUGUUUCUGUUCUGUAAAUAGGUUCAUUUGUGCCAUAUUUUCAAUUCCUCAUAUAAGUGAUAUCAUAUGGUAUUUGUCUUUCUCUUUCUGACUUACUUCACUUAGUAUAAGAGUCUCUAGUUCCAUCCAUGUUAUUGCAAAUGGCAUUAUUUUGUUCUUUCUUAUGGCUGAGUAGUAGUCCAUUAUGUAUAUAUAUCACAUCUUCUUGAUCCAUUCAUCUGUAAAUGGACAUUUAGACUGUUUCCAUGUCUUGGCUAUUGUGAAUCGUGCUGCAGCAGUGAACAUAUAGGUGCAUGUAUCUUUUUGAAUGGAUGUUUUGUCUGGAUAUAUGCCCAGGAGGGAGUGGGAUUGCUGGAUCAUAUGGUAGCUCUAGAUUUAGUUUUCUGAGGUAACUCCAUACUGUUUUCCAUAGUGGUUGUACCAAUUUACAUUCCCACCAACAGUGAAGGAGUAUACCCUUUAUUCCACACCCUCUCCAGCAUUUGCUAUUUGAUGGCCAUUAUUGAUGGCCAUUCUGACCAAUGUGAGGUGGUACCUCAUAGUAGUUUUGAUUUGCAUUUCUCUAAUAAUUAGUGAUGCUGAGCAUUUUUUCAUGUGCCUACUGACCAUCCAUAUGUCUUCUUUGGAGAAAUAUCUAUUUAGGUCUCAGAUUCUUAAUAAAUUUUGAACAAGGGUCCCUGCCUUUCCAUUUUAUACUGGGUCCCAUCCUGCCAGUUAUGUAACUGGUCCUGAAAUGGACCCCAGGUGGCUGUUUCUGCUUUCUGGGGAGGCUCUCUGAUAUAGGGGAGCACCUACUCUGGAAGCUUCCUGAGUGAAGCUGAAAUAGGUAAAUGUUUUUGGAAAUUUUGCAUAUCUGGAAAAAUUUGUAUUUUACUCUCAUAUUUUAAUUAGAAUGAGGCUCAAUAUGAAAUUCUCACUUGGAAGUCAUUCUUACUCAGGGGUCUAAAAGCAUUGCUUUAUUUUCCUCUCGUGUCCAGUGCUUCUGUUAAGAAGGCAGAUGCCCUUCUAAUUCCUAACCUGUCUGUACUGCCUGUUUUUUUCCUCGCUCAGUCACAGCUUUGCUUUUACUUUUUGGCAUCCAAGCUUGAUUACUGUUGUCUCCUCUCCUCAUCUCCUUAUUUUUGCAGGUGAAUAUUUCAAAAAGCAUCCUUUUAGCAGUAUUUUGAGAGAGAAGAGAAGAUGUAAACACAGGUUUUCAAUCUGAGCAACAUUUCAAGGGCUGUGUCACUUUUCAAGGCUGCCCUCUCUCUUGAUAUGCAGAAUUAGAUGGCAGUGGUGGGGGAAAAUUUGCAUAAGAAGCCCCAGUGCCUUCUGGAAGAGAUACUGAUCUUUCUUUUCAAAAUUCAAUGUUAAGGAAACCUUUGCAGUGAUCAAGGGCUGCAGACAAGAAAGAACACACAGAACUCCAGAGGGAUGUUCACCUUGAGGAAAGAGUGAACUGUAUCCAUGACCUGGUGUUGUAUCUGUGCUGCUGGAAUAAGGAUUGGCUACAGGAAGCUGAACAAAAAACCCAUCUCCUUGGUGCCCAGGAAGGUGUACCAAACUAGUUCUCUCUUAUUGAACAUUAAUGCAUGUGGUUUUUAGCUAUUAGAAGUAGUGUCAUCAAUACCCCUGUACAUGGAUUUUUGCACAUUUUUUUUUUCCCACAUUUUACAUGUUGCCUUGUGCCAUAGCACCUACAGAAAAGUUGCUGCUUCCUUGGACUUGGUCUAAUUUCAUUAGAAGAAAAAAAUUCUUUUAUAAAGACUUAAACAGUUCUUUCUCUUUGAGUUCAUAAAUGGAGGAAACAUUAAGAUUGCUUCAGUCUCUGUUUUUAUUUGAAUAUGAAUAUUUGUUAAGCCUCCUUUCCAUUUUUGUUGGAAAUGGAAUGCAUUUAUAAUAUGGUUAUAAUACUUAGUUACUAAUAUUCCAGAAAGAAGAAUAUAUACUUUUAUGACCUCUGAUUUCACUUUCACCCAAGUCUGUAUCUCAAGUAUAUAUUUUUUACAAGCAUUUCUCUAGGAAUUUCAGCCAUGUGGAAGAAGCUCAGUGGUAAAAUUAAAGAAACCUUUGUUUGCACUUUGUGUUUCUGAAGUUAAUAGAAAUUUAAAGCAGGCAGCUGUUGCUUUGCACCCUCAGGCGCUUCCUGGGUAAAGUCUGAAAUUGGCCCCCAUACCUGGAGGGCAAGGAGAGGUCAAAGAAAAAGGCAGGCCACUUGAGAUUGGUAGGUGGCAGUUUUAAUAAGCAAAAGAACUUUACAUAUAAGGCUUCUUUUGGGUGGCCAGCUGGAUAAGUAGAUCUCUGCACCCACCUGCCAGAAUCUUAAGAGUUUAUAUAGAGGCCUUAUUGAGCUUCAGUCAGGUAUUCAGUCCAGAUGGUUUCAGUAACAUAUUACUUGCUCUUUCAAGGCUAAAUCCUUGAAAUAGUCCCAGCUAUGGGAAUGGUGGGCAGACUCUAUAUUCCAAGGACAGGGUGAGGAUGAGGAGCCUCAGAUUGCUCAAGUCCAACUUUUGGGUCAGCUGGCAAUCAUGACCUCUUGAUUACCUGCCCCAAGAGCAGCAGAGCCCUAGAGAGAAAGCAAUAAUAUCAGGAGUCUCUCCAAUCAGAUUUACUAAUAUGCAGUUGAUGUAUAACAUUGUAUAAGUUAAGAUAUGCAACAUAAUGAUUUGAUUAUACAUAUGCAAUCACCUCAAUGUUUAGUUAACAUCCAUCACCUCACAUAGGUACAGUUUUUUCCUUGCAAUAAUACCUUUUAAGAUUUACUCUCUUAUGGAGUUCCUGUUGUGGUGCAGUGGAAACGAAUCCGACUAGGAACCAUGAGGUUGUGGGUUCAAUCCUUGGCUUUGCUUGAUGGGUUAAGGAUCCAGUGUUGCCAUGAGCUGUGGUGUAGGUCACAGAUGCAGCUCUAAUCCUGCAUUGCUGUGACUAUAGCGCAGGCUGGUAGCUACAGCUCUUAUUAGACCCCUCACCUGGGAACUUCCAUAUGCUGUAAGUGUGGCCCUAAAAAGACAAAAGACAAAAAAAAAAAAAAAAAAAAAAAAAAAUUACUCUCUUAUAUAAGUGAUAUUAUAUCGUAUUUGUCUUUCUCCUUCUGACUUCUUCACUUAGUAUGAGAGUCUCUAGUUCCAUCCAUCUUGCUGCAAAUGGCAUUAUUUUGUUCUUUUUUAUGGCUGAGUAGUAUUCCAUUGUGUACAUAUACAUCUUAAUCCAUUCAUCUGCCAAUAGACAUUCCACAGAAAAGAAAAUCAUGGAUAUGGAGAACAGACUUGUGGUUGCCAAGGGGGAGGGGGAGAGAGUCAGUUGGAUGGAUUGGGAAUUUGGGGUUAAUAGAUGCAAACUAUUGCCUUUGAAAUGGAUAAGCAGUGGGAUCCUGCUGUAUAGCACCAGGAACUGGUUGCUUGUGAUGGAGCAUGAUAAUGUGAGAAAAAAGAAUGUAUGCAUGUACAUGUGACUGGGUCACCUUGCUGUUCAGUAGAAAAUUGAUGGAGCACUGUAGUCUAGCUAUAAUGGAAAAAAUAAAAAUCAUUACUAAAAACAAGAUUUACUGUCUUAGCAGUGUUCAGAUAUGCAUCAUGUUAUUAACUAUAGUCAUCAUGGUCUAUAUUACAUCCCCAGACCUUAUUUAUUUUAUAACUAGAAGUUUGAAGCCUUUGACCGCCUUCACGCAACCCCGACCCCCAACCCCAAGUCUAUCUCUGUUUCUUGUAAUUUUUUUUUUUUUGAUUCCACAUAUAAGUAUGAUUAUGGACUAGAGAAGAACAAAUCUGACUUUAUACUGGAUCCGUUUCUUUUACCUUAAGAUAAAUACCUUUGUAUUAUGUUGUUUUUGCUAAAGUUAAUCACUGAAGGGAUGUUGCCUGUAGCUUAAAGUAUACAUAAUGGCCCAUGUCUGAGAACCCUGCUUCCAUGCCUGAGCAUUAAGCUAAAAUACCUUUGUUUAAGCUCAAUGGAAACACCCUGACCUGACCCACCUAUGAAUGGCUGCAGAAAGGAAGAAAUUAACACACCCCCCUCCAGAGUCUGGCCAGAACCAGAAAAUAUUUGCAACAACUUAUAGCCUUUUUUUACUUUACCUCCUCACCUCCCCCUCUUUGCUCUAUAAAAUCAACUUGCAUCCAAAACUUGGGUAAGAUGGUUCUUUAGGAUACUAGUCCACCAUCUUCUUGGCCUGCUGGCUUUCUGUCUUUUUUUUUUUUUUUUUUUUUUGUCUUUUCUAGGGCCGCACCCACAGCAUAUGGAGCUUCUCAGGCUGGGAGUCGAAUCAGAGCUACAGCUGCUGGCCUAUGCCACAGCCACAGCAACAUGGGAUCCGAGCUGUGUCUGCAACUUACACCACAGCUAUUGGCAAUGCCAGAUCCUUAACCCACUGAGUGAGGCCGGGGAUUGAACCUGCAACCUCAUGGUUGGUUCCUAGUCGGAUUCAUUAACCACUGAGCCACGACAGGAAGUUCCUGCUGGCUUUCUGAGUAAAGUCACUAUUUCUUGCCCCAACACCUUGUCUCUCAAUUGAUUGGUCUCUCCUUCAGCAAGCAGUUCAAGCUUGGACUUGGUAAUACUUAUACAAUAUUUGUCUUUCUCUCUCUGACAAUCCACUUAGAAUAGUAACAUCAGGUUUAUUGCCAUUCAUAUAAAUGCUAGAAGGUGGUACGCUCUCAUCACACAGUGUGCCCAAUGAAUGUUUGCUGAAUCAAAGGGCAGAAAUGACAUGCACAUCUGUAUCAAGUGUCUGUUUGACAAUAGCAGUGGAAAGGAAAUCCCACUCUCCCUACCGCAUUUCGUAUGUGGUGUCUUUUGACAAUUUCAAGUCAGCUUGAGUCAGGGAGUGGAGACAUGCAGAAGGCAGAGAUAAGGUUUGCUUAAGUAGAGGAGAUCAUGACAGUAAAAAGCACUUUGAGAGAGAUGAUGUUCUUCAAAUAUUAUUAGGUUCAUUUCAUUAUCAUGGAGUAAAAAUAAAGAGGUACAAGAGAGAAUCAACAGAGAGUAGUUAGUGGGGAGAAGGUGAAACCCUUUGUUAAUGACUGUUACCUGGAGAAAGUUAAACAAAUAAAGGUGCUGAUUCAGCUAGGACCAGUAACCAGAUCAGGGUCAUUGAGGACUAUUUUCUGUUCUCAUCCUGACUCAUUUUAUAAUAUUUGGUAAAUCGCUUAACCUUUCUGUGGUGCCAGUUUUUCCAAUCCAUUAAGUGCCUGUUAUAGUACAUUCUUCCUGCUGAGGUAGCAAGGAUGUUUGGGUGAUUCAUUUGAUAAUUGUUGGAAAGCACUUUGAGUCCCUUAGAGAAAGCCAGGAUCACAAGAUUUAUCUGAGAUUAUUAAUUAGAAAGUCUUUUUGCAUUAGUUGAGUUUCUGAUUCUUUUGCACUUUCCAACUCGCUUUUCUGUGGCUUUCCCAAUUCCAGCCAGUUUUUCCUUCACACAAUUGCAAGGGUGCAGUGAUUUGGUAUAUUCUGUAUUCCAAAUAAUGUUGCUAUCAUGAAAUUAAUCCUUUGGGUAGAUGUAAAAAAUUAGAAAAGUUUGAGAAUUUUAAGCCUGUCUUAAUGUGAUUAAGUAAAACAUUUAAGGUGGUUUGAGGGGAGAAAGAUUAUCUGUG
Molecule: long non-coding RNA, 6714 nt
Filed under: Sus scrofa (pig)
Lineage: Eukaryota; Metazoa; Chordata; Mammalia; Artiodactyla; Suidae
Description: lncRNA (ENSSSCG00000052162.1)
Source: RNAcentral